CUGGGAGAGCAAGAAGCAAGGAGCCAGCAAGUCUGGACACAUUCCAGAGGCCACGAGGGGUUUUAUGUCCUGAUUCCUGGAUUCCAUCCAAGCCACGAGGGGUUUUAUGCCCUGGGCUUAGGUUGUAGUGUGGUGGGGCAGCCUUCCACCCUUAAGCACAGAACCUGGUGUUCCACAGGCCACAAGAAGUUUUAAACUCUGUAGUGAGGAUAUGUUCCAAGGCUCUUUUCAUAUUAUGUCAGACUAGCAAGUCUUGCCUCAGCUUUUCUCCCAACAAUUGGACUGAUGAGUUGCUCUACUGGGCACAAGCAUCAUGGGUUCUUAAAACAAGGCCCUGGACAAGCACCAAAUAUGUUCCUAUCACCACAUUCCACUAGCCCUUCAACUAUAAACAUGCACAGGAGUCACCUGGGGGCCUUGCUAAAUAAAAUGCAGCUUCUGAUUCAAUAGUCUCAAACAGGAUCAGAGAUUCUGCCUCUCUUGUUGAGUUCCCAAGUAAGGCAGACCAUGCCAGUCCACAGACUCACACUUUGAGAUACAGCACCUGGGCCAUUGUGUUCUAAUGUGCUUGAUAACCUGGAGCACCUAUUAAAUAUCCAAGUUGCCAGGACUUUCUUCUGGAAAUCUUAAUUCAGUAUGUUUUGUUUGGAGCCUUGGACAUUUGGGAAAAUUAGAAUUUCUUUCUCUCCCUUUAGACAAAAGUCAACUACUGCUGAGGCAUGUGCUUAAUGUUGACUAAAACAUCCAACUCAACAACCAAUCCUGUAUAAUUUUCAAACUCUGUCAAUAACUUGCUGGGUCUAACCUGCAUAACCUGGCUGCAUGACGGGUGAAGAAAUGCACUCAGACACAGGUAUCCCAUGAAAGAGUGGGGUAGGGGACUGGGCAGCUCCCAGACACUGAGGAGGGUGCUGUAAAGAGUCAGCAGUCACAGCCCUGUCAGGCUGGGGCUCCAGGCAUUUAUUCAGCACAGUUUUAAUGACAAAGGUCUCAAGUAAAC
This 1000-nucleotide long non-coding RNA is filed under the name Homo sapiens (human). RNAcentral describes it as "HSALNT0288840". The record is from RNAcentral. Lineage: Eukaryota; Metazoa; Chordata; Mammalia; Primates; Hominidae.